AUGAUCUCCUGGACUCAGUUUCUCUGGCUCCUUGUGCUCUGCAUUCAGGACUCCAGCGGGCAGAUCGUGCUGACUCAGACACCAGAAUCCCUGGCAGUGUCUCCAGGAGACACAGUCACUAUCCGCUGCAAAGCCAGUUCCAGCCUCACCAGUGGUAGUUAUCAACGGCUAGCCUGGUACCAACAGAAAUCAGGACAAGCACCUAAGCUCCUCAUCUACAACGCUUCCACGCGUCAAUCUGGGGUCCCAGACCGGUUCAGUGGCAGUGGGUCGGGCACUGACUACACAUUCACCAUCAGCAGGGUUGAAGCAGAUGAUGCUGGAAAUUAUUACUGUAAGCAGCAUUACACCACCCCGGCAAUAGGAGGAGGAACACAGCAAUCAUUGUAUCUGAGCAGUGGUCCAUCAAAUCCAACAUCAUUCUCCAGCUGUGGCCUGUCUCUGCUACCCCAAAGGAAUCAUAUAGGGUUCUACUCCAUGAAGGUGAAACAGACAGCUGAGAUAAAGAUUGAGUCCAAGUGA
Pelodiscus sinensis (Chinese soft-shelled turtle) is the source of this 522-nucleotide non-coding RNA. The record is from the annotation of a RefSeq genome assembly. Lineage: Eukaryota; Metazoa; Chordata; Testudines; Trionychidae.